UUUAUAUCGGCCUACUCACAACUUCACUCAAUUCUUCUUAAGAAUUUUUUUAAGAAUUUUUUUUUCACUCAUUCGGUCUUCUCCACAUAGAGCCACCACUCACCAUUACAGCCUCCACCACCAGAAUCACCACCACCAUAUUUUUCAUAUUCUCCUGUACUUUACGUUUGGGUACAACAACUAUAGAUGUAAAUUAUUUUAGGUUUCACAGUAAAAUCAGCACCACCUUUUUCCUCUAAUCGCGGCGAUUGAUGUCUCAACAGUAAAAUCAACGAGACAAUAUGGAUUUAAGAUGCAUGAACAUGAUUUACAUCUUAAUGGUAAAUAAGGAAGGUCUAUUAUGUAUGUAUGAUGUCAGAUCUGUGAAAUUGAAGCUGCGAUUGGAAUCACGCAUUUACUUGCUUCGACCUUAGAUCUUGGCCAAAAAUUUUAUGCCAUAGUUUCUCUUUUGAUUUGUUUAACAGGGAGGAUGAAAAAGUCGACCCCUUGAUGGAGAUGGAAAGGAGUCACUGGAGGUAAACUCAAUUGGGGAAGAAGAAGGCGAGAAAGACUGAAAGAGAGAGGAUCAGGAGAAAUUAUGAUGAGAUAAUUUGUGUUUUUGUAACUGGAUAGUUUGAGUAAUCAUUAAUUUGUGUUUUUGUAAUUGCAUAUUAGGGAGGUGAAGAACAUUUCAGAUCUGGAAUUUUUUUCAAAUUUUAUAAAUUAGUCUAAUUUAGUUAGGAUUUCUUUUUAAA
Papaver somniferum (opium poppy) is the source of this 734-nucleotide long non-coding RNA. RefSeq lists it as uncharacterized. Lineage: Eukaryota; Viridiplantae; Streptophyta; Magnoliopsida; Ranunculales; Papaveraceae. The record is from RefSeq and is a predicted model, not a curated record. The transcript is spliced from 2 exons.